CAGUUUUUGGUUAAACUUCUCAUGUCACGUUUUCUGACAACACCUUCCAUUGUACCAUCUGUUUCUGAACAAUACCUGGGACAUUGCAAACUUGUUCUGCAAGAAUACCCUGGGUCUCAGUGUGUGUGACAAGGGAUGGAAGAAUUCACCAGUAAAACCACCUGGACCUGAAAUUUUUUCAUGGGAAAGUUUUUGAUGAUGUAUUCAAUCUCUACUCAAAUGUUCUAUUUCAUCUUGUGUCAAUUUUGAGGCACCAACAGGGGUCCCUCUGGAAACGUGGAGCAGAAUCAUCCAGGAUCCCGAAGAGGACUUUGUCCUCCUGCCCAUUUCCAGUUCCUCUCCCAUCUCCUCUGGUUUCCAGAAGCAGCACAUCCCCGGCCCCACCCCUCAUCUGUAUACGGAUCCUCCUAAUGCAGACCCAGGUGAUGGAAAACCCGUCUACAACGAACCAAGGCUGUUCGUGCUUUCAAAU
This 472-nucleotide long non-coding RNA is filed under the name Homo sapiens (human). Its description in RNAcentral is "HSALNT0391991". The record is from RNAcentral. Lineage: Eukaryota; Metazoa; Chordata; Mammalia; Primates; Hominidae.